UAAACGGUCAUCGAUAAAAAUCACUUACUGAAAUUAGCUUUCUUCUACUCCUCGGAUAAUAUUGAGUCAGCCCUGGGGGAGAGAGGAGGUGGAAACAUGCUGCACCCUACAGAACUGCUACCUGGGCACUCACAAAGCCCUCCUGCUUGCUUCGGCUAAGUUUGGAGGAAGGCAGCAAGGCAGACAAAACAAGACUCACAGUGGUAACCCUCUAGCCCAUGCCUUGCAGGAGAGCAAAGCUGGAGACAACCGGCAGAGGAACAGCAAAGCUCUUGACUGUUUCCAGGCCCCGUGGUUCACAGCCCUCGUACGUGUGGUCCCCCUGGAGCACUGCUGGGAGUAAGCCGAGCCCUGAGCUGCCCAUAGGAUGUCCUGGUGCCAAAUGGUGUGGGGGUCCUGCUGGGUUUUCUGCUUAUACCCCCAAAAUCAGAGGCAGGCAGCGUGUCUUCUGCUUCUCAGGCCCUGGAAGAACCACAUUUGGGAUGUGUGUGAGCUCUAGGAAGAAAACUGGAGUGGAGGCAAGUGUUAUGAGUGGCUUUGGUGCUCAGCUGGAGGGUGAAAGGAGACAAGGCUUCGAUGUAAUGCUACGGAGCUGGGCUGGAUAGCAGGUAACCACUGAGAUAUUUAACUCUGUAACAGUGCUGGCAAGAAUUUCAGAUGAAAACACCACCUUCUGUACUUCCUAAUGACAUGAUAAAUCACAGUGAUUGAGCACAGAUCCCCUUUAGAGACAGCCUCAUGAACCACCCUGCCCAGGCUUUUCCCACUGACCAGUCAUGGUUUGUCACCAGCUGCUGCCCUGCAGUGUGGGGACAUUGAGAGUUAAAGCUGAGCCAACAGCUUUCGACUCGUUUCAAUGUGCAGAGUACCAGGCAUUUUCUUGCAGACUCCCACACAGAGAAUUUAAGCCUUCUGACAAGAAAUGUGCAUUUCUUUUUUUUACGUUUCAAAGACCUAUCCGUAAUUCGUAGCUCACCAGGGUCUGCAGGGCUGAGGCUGAGAAGUGCUGCAUCAAAGGAGCUGAGCACUGAAGUCACGGCUCAGAAGGAAAUGAGGGUCUAAAGUCCAAAACUGGAAACUUCCCAGGGCUCCCUACUCACCUCCCACCUAAUGCUGUGAGUACCUCUUCUCAGUCUGGUUGAUCUUGGAGUCUUUAGGGUGGCUGGAGGUUCUACCUCUGCCUUGGUCUUAGCAGCCUGGAGUUUAUCUAAUGACGGGCUGAUCAGGACAAAGAAAUCAAAUGCAUGCACGUCUCUGCUCAGCUGGUCAGCCUCUGCAGUGUAAGCUUAUGGGAUGAGACCUCCUUGGAAAAUCCAGCUGUGGUUCUGUCCCUUGGCCAUGGAGCUGCAGGACACGAUGUCCUGACUCUCCUGCUGCUAAGGCUUGUGUUGAAACACUUGCCCAAGAGAAUAAGCAGCCUGGCCCGCUUCCCUUUUGUUACACAGCCUGAAAGAUCCCCGCCACAACUCUACCUCUGAAACAAGGCCACUGUGCAAAAAGUCAAGACUGAUGGGCAAGGAAAGCAAUGAGUGGCACAAGGGUCAGCUGCAGUGCUUGCUGCUCAUCAUCCCAGCACCUGGGGACUUUGUCUCUCUCUGGGCACCG
Molecule: long non-coding RNA, 1605 nt
Filed under: Anser brachyrhynchus (Pink-footed goose)
Lineage: Eukaryota; Metazoa; Chordata; Aves; Anseriformes; Anatidae
Description: lncRNA (ENSABRG00000022250.1)
Source: RNAcentral